Non-coding RNA from Dipodomys ordii (Ord's kangaroo rat), 65 nucleotides. The record is from Rfam. Lineage: Eukaryota; Metazoa; Chordata; Mammalia; Rodentia; Heteromyidae.
GGUGGCUCAGUGCUAGAGUGCUUGCUUUGCAUGCAUGAGGCCCUGGGUUCGAUUCCUCAGUACCA